CCUACGGGUGGCAGCAGUGGGGAAUAUUGCGCAAUGGUCGAAAGCCUGACGCAGCGAAGCCGCGUGAGGGAUGAAGGUCUUCGGAUCGUAAACCUCUGUCAGCAGGGGAGCACGGUCACUGUGCUAAUCCGCAGUGAGUUUACGGUACCUGCAAAGGUAGCACCGGCUAACUCCGUGCCAGCAGCCGCGGUAGUACGGAGGGUGCGAGCGUUAAUCGGAAGUACUGGGCGUAAAGCGCUCGUAGGCGGUAUGUCAAGUCAAGGGUGAAAUCCCCGCGCGCAACGUGGGAACUGCCUUUGAAACUGGCAAACUGGAGUGUGUGAGAGGAUAGUGGAAUUCGAGGUGUAGGAGUGAAAUCCGUAGAUAUCUGGAGGAACAUCAGUGGCGAAGGCGACUAUCUGGCACAUAACUGACGCUGAGGAGCGAAAGCGUGGGUAUCAAACAGGAUUAGAUACCCCAGUAGUC
This 465-nucleotide ribosomal RNA is filed under the name uncultured bacterium. RNAcentral describes it as "partial 16S ribosomal RNA". It matches the Rfam family "Bacterial small subunit ribosomal RNA", at positions 338 to 795 of the family's 1533-position model. The record is from RNAcentral.